UCACAACCAUCUGUAAUGGGAUCUGAUGCC
RNAcentral lists this non-coding RNA (30 nucleotides) under Mus musculus (house mouse). RNAcentral also lists the same sequence under 1 other name. The record is from RNAcentral. Lineage: Eukaryota; Metazoa; Chordata; Mammalia; Rodentia; Muridae.